GGAGAAGCAAAGUGAUGAACAGCAUUGCUGGAGCCCCAGAGAGGCACAGUGUGUGUGCCUGUGUGUAUGUCUGUAUCCUUGUCUGUGCAUGCACACGUGAGUCUGAGGAUGGGUGUGGUGUGAUUGGUGGUAGGGACCUAGCCACGUGCCUUCUUCCGGGCUGUGACAGUCAAACUGAUAAGAUCUGAUUGCUUC
Alexandromys fortis (reed vole) is the source of this 195-nucleotide small nucleolar RNA. RefSeq annotates it as small nucleolar RNA ZL1. The record is from RefSeq and is a predicted model, not a curated record. The transcript has a single exon. Lineage: Eukaryota; Metazoa; Chordata; Mammalia; Rodentia; Cricetidae.